This 477-nucleotide ribosomal RNA is filed under the name uncultured Planctomycetota bacterium. RNAcentral describes it as "bacterial SSU rRNA". It matches the Rfam family "Bacterial small subunit ribosomal RNA", at positions 364 to 832 of the family's 1533-position model. The record is from RNAcentral. Lineage: Bacteria; Pseudomonadati; Planctomycetota.
UUUCGCAAUGCCCGAAAGGGUGACGAAGCGACGCCGCGUGGGUGAGGAAGGCCUUCGGGUUGUAAAGCCCUGUCAGGAGUUAAGAAAUGUAAGUGCGCUAAUAUCGCAUUUAUUUGACGAAGGCUCCAAAGGAAGUCACGGCUAACUCUGUGCCAGCAGCCGCGGUAAUACAGAGGUGGCAAGCGUUGUUCGGAAUUACUGGGCGUAAAGGGCACGUAGGCGGGUCCGUAUGUCAGGGGUGAAAGCCCUCGGCCCAACCGAGGAACGGCCUCUGAAACUGCGGGUCUUGAGCGAAGCAGAGGAGAGUGGAACUCUCGGUGGAGCGGUGAAAUGCGUUGAUAUCGAGAGGAACACCGGUGGCGAAGGCGACUCUCUAUGCUUCUGCUGACGCUGAGGUGCGAAAGCCAGGGGAGCGAACGGGAUUAGACACCCCGGUAGUCCUGGCCCUAAACGGUGGGCACUAAGUAGAGGGGUUUU